Molecule: unclassified non-coding RNA, 432 nt
Filed under: soil metagenome
Description: partial contains 5.8S ribosomal RNA, internal transcribed spacer 2, and large subunit ribosomal RNA
Rfam family: 5.8S ribosomal RNA (bases 1-120)
Source: RNAcentral
GAUGAAGAACGUAGCGAAAUGCGAUACGUAAUGUGAAUUGCAGAAUUCAGUGAAUCAUCGAAUCUUUGAACGCAUAUUGCGCUCUCUGGUAUUCCGGAGAGCAUGCUUGUUUGAGUAUCAGUAAACACCUCAACUUCCAUAUCUUUUUUGAAAUGGGAGUUGGACUUGAGUGAUCCCAACGCUUUUCCUCACCGAAAAGUGGCGGGUUACUUGAAAUGCAGGUGCAGCUGGACUUUUCUUUGAGCUAUAAGCAUAUCUAUUUAGUCUGCCUAAAAAACAGAUUAUUACCUUUGCUGCAGCUAACAUAAAGGAGAUUAGUUCUUGUGCUGACUGAUGCAGGAUUCACAAAGACGGCUUCGGCCGACUUUGUAAACUCGAUCUCAAAUCAAGUAAGACUACCCGCUGAACUUAAGCAUAUCAAUAAGCGGAGGA